GACGAACGCUGGCGGCGUGCCUAAUACAUGCAAGUUGAGCGCUGAAGGUUGGUACUUGUACCAACUGGAUGAGCAGCGAACGGGUGAGUAACGCGUGGGGAAUCUGCCUUUGAGCGGGGGACAACAUUUGGAAACGAAUGCUAAUACCGCAUAAAAACUUUAAACACAAGUUUUAAGUUUGAAAGAUGCAAUUGCAUCACUCAAAGAUGAUCCCGCGUUGUAUUAGCUAGUUGGUGAGGUAAAGGCUCACCAAGGCGAUGAUACAUAGCCGACCUGAGAGGGUGAUCGGCCACAUUGGGACUGAGACACGGCCCAAACUUCUACGGGAGGCAGCAGUAGGGGAUCUUCGGCAAUGGACGAAAGUCUGACCGAGCAACGCCGCGGGAGUGAAGAAGGUUUUCGGGUCGUAAAACUCUGUUGGUAGAGAAGAACGUUGGUGAGAGUGGAAAGCUCAUCAAGUGACGGUAACUACUCAGAAAGGGACGGCUAACUACGUG
Molecule: ribosomal RNA, 497 nt
Filed under: uncultured bacterium
Lineage: Bacteria
Description: partial 16S ribosomal RNA
Rfam family: Bacterial small subunit ribosomal RNA
Source: RNAcentral